Molecule: ribosomal RNA, 484 nt
Filed under: uncultured bacterium
Lineage: Bacteria
Description: partial 16S ribosomal RNA
Rfam family: Bacterial small subunit ribosomal RNA
Source: RNAcentral
AUUGAACGCUGGCGGCAGGCCUAACACAUGCGAGUCGAGCGGAUGAAGGGAGCUUGCUCCUGGAUUCAGCGGCGGACGGGUGAGUAAUGCCUAGGAAUCUGCCUGGUAGUGGGGGAUAACGUCCGGAAACGGGCGCUAAUACCGCAUACGUCCUGAGGGAGAAAGUGGGGGAUCUUCGGACCUCACGCUAUCAGAUGAGCCUAGGUCGGAUUAGCUAGUUGGUGGGGUAAAGGCCUACCAAGGCGACGAUCUGUAACUGGUCUGAGAGGAUGAUCAGUCACACUGGAACUGAGACACGGUCCAGACUCCUACGGGAGGCAGCAGUGGGGAAUAUUGGACAAUGGGCGAAAGCCUGAUCCAGCCAUGCCGCGUGUGUGAAGAAGGUCUUCGGAUUGUAAAGCACUUUAAGUUGGGAGGAAGGGCAGUAAGUUAAUACCUUGCUGUUUUGACGUUACCAACAGAAUAAGCACCGGCUAACUUCGUG